UUCUCUUGUUUCAGAGCAGAAAACCCUCGAUUCCUUUCUUCUCCAUCGAAAUUUCUUCCUUCUUCAUCUUCAUCUCUUCUUUCUCCCUCGAUUUUGAAUAAUCUCUUCUUCAUCACCUACCACGUUUUCCCGAGAAUAAUCUCCCAAAAUCACCAUUCAUCUUCGUUAUUCUCCCAAAAUCAUCAUCACUUUACAAUGGUUUCCAGAGAAUAACAUUUUGAGGUCAAAUUUUUGGAUUUCAUCUUCGUAGAACAGGGAGAAAAUUACCGGCAAACAAUAGUGUUCCUUGAAGAUAAGCUCUGUAAUAAUCGUUCCCGUACACCAUUAGAGCACCAGCACCCCUUCCGUCCCCGUGCCAUUAUGGCACGGGCAAUCCACUAGUACUUAAUAAACACAAAAUAGAAGCACUAGGUAGUAAAACCAAUUGCCCCUUAUCCUUCAUCAUAUUUAUAAUGAAACUAAUGUCUUUAUCAUUUAUAAUUUUAUAUUCUUAAAAAAAAAAUUUAUAAAUCUUUUUAAUAUUUUUUUUAAUUGUGAAAUAGAGAAAGAGAGGCAGAGUAAAGGGAAGAAGACAGAGAGACUUUUAUUGAUAUGUAAAGAAUUACAAGGAUUUACAUCUCUAUUUAUAGGGAUAAAAGAAAACCUAAUCUUAGAUACAAGGUCAUCUUAAUAAAUAAACAUUAGUUUACAA
Papaver somniferum (opium poppy) is the source of this 691-nucleotide long non-coding RNA. RefSeq lists it as uncharacterized. NCBI's taxonomy places the organism in Eukaryota, Viridiplantae, Streptophyta, Magnoliopsida, Ranunculales, Papaveraceae. The transcript is spliced from 2 exons. The record is from RefSeq and is a predicted model, not a curated record.